Long non-coding RNA from Mytilus californianus (California mussel), 581 nucleotides. RefSeq lists it as uncharacterized. The record is from RefSeq and is a predicted model, not a curated record. Lineage: Eukaryota; Metazoa; Mollusca; Bivalvia; Mytilida; Mytilidae. The transcript is spliced from 3 exons.
AGAAGUUUAUGUGAACUUCAUUAAUCAACACUGCAGUAUUUUUAUUGUGAAUCCUAAAAGCGAUUGAGAUGCGUAUAUAUAACUAAGGAGAGUGUAUGACAAGUGAAUGGAGAGCCAUGUACUAUGAAAUAUAGCAGGGAAAAUACUGAUUUUUCAUUGGACGAAAAUAGAUGUGGAAAUCAUCGUUUGCCUGUAGAGACGGCAAGAUGGCAAACUAUACCGAGAUCGGAAAGGUCUUGUUACCUCUGCAGCUCGACAGAUAUUGGAGAUGAGUUUCAAUACAUUAUGUGAUGCAAUUUUUUCAACAUAGAAAGAGAAAAAUAUUUACCACAUUAUUGUAAAAAAAAAUGCUAACAUUAUUAAAUUUAAUCAUAUAUUCUCAUCUGAAAAUGUUGUUGAACUAGAAAAAGUGUGUAGAUUUAUACGAUACAUAUCAGUGAAAGUCUGUCUUCUUGGUUAGAGGAAGUGUAAUACUAUUAUAUUGUUAUUUAUUUUCACACAUGCGAAACAAAAUAUGUAUUAUAUAUGAACUGUUAUUUUCUCUGUAACUAUGUACUAGUUUAUGAAAAUAAAAUCAUUCA